This 73-nucleotide transfer RNA is filed under the name Cyanobacteria bacterium UBA8803. RNAcentral's name for it is "tRNA-Lys". It matches the Rfam family "tRNA". Rfam says of the family: Transfer RNA (tRNA) molecules are approximately 80 nucleotides in length. Their secondary structure includes four short double-helical elements and three loops (D, anti-codon, and T loops). The record is from RNAcentral. Lineage: Bacteria; Bacillati; Cyanobacteriota. RNAcentral also lists the same sequence under 1 other name.
GGGAAUGUAGCCCAAUUGGCAGAGCAGGUGACUCUUAAUCACUUGGUUGCAGGUUCAAUUCCUGUCAUUCCCU